This 253-nucleotide ribosomal RNA is filed under the name uncultured bacterium. RNAcentral describes it as "partial 16S ribosomal RNA". It matches the Rfam family "Bacterial small subunit ribosomal RNA", at positions 524 to 776 of the family's 1533-position model. The record is from RNAcentral.
GACGGAGGGUGCAAACGUUGUUCGGAAUUACUGGGCGUAAAGGGCGCGUAGGCGGGAUGGCAAGUCGGUCGUGAAAUCCCUCGGCUCAACCGAGGAACGUCGAUCGAUACUGCUGUUCUUGAGGAUUGCAGAGGAGACUGGAAUUCCCGGUGUAGCGGUGAAAUGUGUAGAGAUCGGGAGGAACACCGGUGGCGGAGGCGGGUCUCUGGGCAAUUCCUGACGCUGAGGCGCGAAAGCGUGGGGAGCAAACGGG